GACGGAAGGUGCAAGCGUUGCUCGGAAUCACUGGGCGUAAAGGGUGCGUAGGCGGCCGUGCAAGUCUGGCGUGAAAGCCCCGGGCUCAGCCCGGGAAGUGCGCUCGAAACUGCGCGGCUCGAGUGCCGGAGGGGAGAGUGGAAUUCCUGGUGUAGCGGUGAAAUUCGUAGAUAUUCGGAGGAACACCAGAAGCGAAGGCGGCUCACUGGCCCGAUACUGACGCUGAGGCGCGAAAGCGUGGGGAGCAAACAGG
This 253-nucleotide ribosomal RNA is filed under the name uncultured bacterium. Its description in RNAcentral is "partial 16S ribosomal RNA". It matches the Rfam family "Bacterial small subunit ribosomal RNA", at positions 524 to 776 of the family's 1533-position model. The record is from RNAcentral.